This 424-nucleotide ribosomal RNA is filed under the name uncultured bacterium. Its description in RNAcentral is "bacterial SSU rRNA". It matches the Rfam family "Bacterial small subunit ribosomal RNA", at positions 64 to 534 of the family's 1533-position model. The record is from RNAcentral.
CGACGAGACCUUCGGGUCUAGUGGCGCACGGGUGCGUAACGCGUGGGAAUCUGCCCUUGGGUUCGGAAUAACAGUUGGAAACGACUGCUAAUACCGGAUGAUGACGAAAGUCCAAAGAUUUAUCGCCCAGGGAUGAGCCCGCGUAGGAUUAGCUAGUUGGUGAGGUAAAGGCUCACCAAGGCUACGAUCCUUAGCUGGUCUGAGAGGAUGAUCAGCCACACUGGGACUGAGACACGGCCCAGACUCCUACGGGAGGCAGCAGUAGGGAAUAUUGGACAAUGGGGGCAACCCUGAUCCAGCAAUGCCGCGUGAGUGAUGAAGGCCUUAGGGUUGUAAAGCUCUUUUACCCGGGAUGAUAAUGACAGUACCGGGAGAAUAAGCCCCGGCUAACUCCGUGCCAGCAGCCGCGGUAAUACGGAGGGGG